This 763-nucleotide ribosomal RNA is filed under the name uncultured actinomycete. RNAcentral's name for it is "bacterial SSU rRNA". It matches the Rfam family "Bacterial small subunit ribosomal RNA", at positions 631 to 1392 of the family's 1533-position model. The record is from RNAcentral. Lineage: Bacteria; Bacillati; Actinomycetota; Actinomycetes; Actinomycetales.
UACGGGCAAUACUUGAGUGCUGUAGGGGAGACUGGAAUUCCUGGUGUAGCGGUGAAAUGCGCAGAUAUCAGGAGGAACACCAAUGGCGAAGGCAGGUCUCUGGGCAGUAACUGACGCUGAGGAGCGAAAGCAUGGGUAGCGAACAGGAUUAGAUACCCUGGUAGUCCAUGCCGUAAACGGUGGGCGCUAGGUGUAGGGGACUUCCACGUCUUCUGUGCCGUAGCUAACGCAUUAAGCGCCCCGCCUGGGGAGUACGGCCGCAAGGCUAAAACUCAAAGGAAUUGACGGGGGCCCGCACAAGCGGCGGAGCAUGUGGAUUAAUUCGAUGCAACGCGAAGAACCUUACCUGGGCUUGACAUACACCGGACCGGGCUAGAGAUAGUCCUUCCCUUGUGGCUGGUGUACAGGUGGUGCAUGGUUGUCGUCAGCUCGUGUCGUGAGAUGUUGGGUUAAGUCCCGCAACGAGCGCAACCCUUGUCUUAUGUUGCCAGCACGUGAUGGUGGGGACUCAUGAGAGACUGCCGGGGUCAACUCGGAGGAAGGUGGGGAUGACGUCAAAUCAUCAUGCCCCUUAUGUCCAGGGCUUCACACAUGCUACAAUGGUCGGUACAGCAGGUCGCGAACUCGUGAGAGUAAGCCAAUCCUUCAAAGCCGGCCUCGGUUCGGAUUGGGGUCUGCAACUCGACCCCAUGAAGUCGGAGUCGCUAGUAAUCGCAGAUCAGCAACGCUGCGGUGAAUACGUUCCCGGGCCUUGUACACACCG